Molecule: long non-coding RNA, 405 nt
Organism: Octodon degus (degu)
Lineage: Eukaryota; Metazoa; Chordata; Mammalia; Rodentia; Octodontidae
Exons: 3
Source: RefSeq, a predicted model, not a curated record
GCUCGGCCUUUUGCGUCUGGAAAGCGGCCGAGUUAGGUACGCCGGGAAGUCGUGUUUUGACCGCGAAAAUGGGAACUUCGCCAGAACUUUACGGCGUGAUUAAGAUGCAGGCGGCUCAAGAUUCUUACCUUGGUGGCGGGAGGCAGUCAGCUUUAAAAGUCUGUAGUUUGAAGGGCUAGAACGGACGGUGGAGUUCCUUGGGUCGCGCGACGGCCACGUGCGGCCCGGAACCCUGACGAGCCGAGGUCCGAGCCGGAAGCGCCGGGGAGCAGAGCGCGGGCGCGGGCCAUCUUGAGCCCUCUGCGUGUGCGCCGGAGCCCCUCGAGCGCCGCCGCCUCCGGGCGCACGCGGAAGCGGAACUCCGGGCUGAUGGCUCAUGGAAGCGGGGCAAGGUAAUCAAGAAAA